RNAcentral lists this ribosomal RNA (207 nucleotides) under uncultured bacterium. Its description in RNAcentral is "partial 16S ribosomal RNA". It matches the Rfam family "Bacterial small subunit ribosomal RNA", at positions 568 to 774 of the family's 1533-position model. The record is from RNAcentral.
CGCGCAGGCGGGUCAAUAAGUCAGAGGUGAAAUCCUACAGUUUAACUGUAGAACUGCCUUUGAUACUGUUGAUCUUGAGUAUGGAAGAGAGAGACGGAAUUCCAGGUGUAGUGGUGAAAUACGUAGAUAUCUGGAAGAACACCAGUUGCGAAGGCGGUCUCUUGGUCCAAUACUGACGCUGAGGCGCGAAAGCGUGGGUAGCAAACA